UUUAAACCUGCAAGAAGUGCAUUUUUAGAAACACAAUUGUCUGCAUGCUUUUGUUCGCAGCUGACUGUGUUGUGUCACCCUGACGGAGGAGGCACAAGAGGAUUGUGAGGUCAUAUAAAACUGGAUUAUGACAAUGAAUCAACAGGGCAUUAGGAAUAAGCUAAUUAGAAAGGAAGAAUCUGCAUGCACACACGCAUCUUGCUAAUUGGCAAUUAUGGGAGAGAAUGGAAGAAGAAAACACACAGCAGCUAAACAGGAUUUUAACACGAUACUGAAGAGAUCCACCCAGAUUUCCCCAUUGGGACCCUUGAUCCUGCAAGCACUUGAGCACUGAGUAUCACACUAUCUCCGUAGGAUCCAUUCAGAGAUCAGGACUUGUAACUGGAAGGACACAGUGGCAUAACCAGAUUUAACGUAAGCCAUGAUCCUCAGCACCCCUUUAGAAAACAAAACAAAACCAAAUAAACAAUUUGAGACCAAGUCAUAAUCUGAGCUGACUGUGCAGUAUUUGACUUGCUUUCAAAACCAUUUAGUGUUUUUAGAAAAUACUGCGGGUUCUGUACUCUCUGCGGUAUUUCCAGCGGACACAGAUCUUCCUGUGGUAUUAGAGCUGGC
Columba livia (rock pigeon) is the source of this 615-nucleotide long non-coding RNA. RefSeq lists it as uncharacterized. Lineage: Eukaryota; Metazoa; Chordata; Aves; Columbiformes; Columbidae. The record is from RefSeq and is a predicted model, not a curated record. The transcript has 3 exons.